This is a long non-coding RNA of Drosophila sulfurigaster albostrigata, 484 nucleotides long. RefSeq lists it as uncharacterized. The record is from RefSeq and is a predicted model, not a curated record. The transcript is spliced from 2 exons. Lineage: Eukaryota; Metazoa; Arthropoda; Insecta; Diptera; Drosophilidae.
AAACUUAAAUUUGUUGUGAUUAGCAUAUUCAUAAUUUAAAGGCAAAUCCAUUAUUUCAUCAAUUUCAAUUGAAUCGAAUAGCUUGUAACAUGUCAAACAUUUCGGGACCCCGAAGCACCGCAGGGCAACCUUCAUCAUAUGGAAAAGUUGUUUAGCAUGUACAAAUUAUUAUGCAAAAAUGUGUAAAACAUGUCGACAAAGCUUACGGAUUGAAAUUGAUUGGGACAAUGCGAGUGAUGCGAGUGAGGGCAAGCCCAUAUUUGAAAACUAAUUAGAGCCAAACGACAAUGGUAACAGCUAACAACUGUGAAUCGUGUAAUGUGGCUCAUUACAACAUCGUUUCAUACAAAUACAAGUGUGUGUGUGUGUAUAGACCUCACUUCAUGACAAAGAAACUACAACAACAUUGACAAAUUUAGGCGUGAGCUCAAGGCUAUACACGAUAAAUUUCAAGAUACCCGCAUUUCUAAACCUUUAGCAGUUU